RNAcentral lists this ribosomal RNA (519 nucleotides) under uncultured eukaryote. Its description in RNAcentral is "SSU rRNA". It matches the Rfam family "Eukaryotic small subunit ribosomal RNA", at positions 1161 to 1699 of the family's 1831-position model. The record is from RNAcentral.
AGGGCACCACCAGGAGUGGAGCCUGCGGCUUAAUUUGACUCAACACGGGGAAACUUACCCGGCCUGGACACUGGAAGGAUUGACAGAUUGAGAGCUCUUUCUUGAUUCAGUGGGUGGUGGUGCAUGGCCGUUCUUAGUUGGUGGAGCGAUUUGUCAGGUUAAUUCCGAUAACGAACGAGACUCUAGCCUAUUAAAUAGGCUCCCGGCUUUUAAACGCCGGGAGGACUUCUUAGAGGGACAGGUGGCGGUUCAGCCGCACGAAAGAGAGCAAUAACAGGUCUGUGAUGCCCUUUGUUGUCCGGGGCCGCACGCGCGCUACACUGAAGAGAUCAGCGUGCUUUAUGUUCCUGCUCCGACCGGAGUGGGGAACCCAGUGAACCUUCUUCGUGAUUGGGAUAGAAGAUUGUAAUUAUUCUUCUUGAACGAGGAAUUCCCAGUAAAUGCGAGUCAUAAGCUCGCGUUGAUUACGUCCCUGCCCUUUGUACACACCGCCCGUCGCUACUACCGAUUGAACGAUUU